GCCUACGGGACGCAGCAGUAGGGAAUCUUCCACAAUGGGCGAAAGCCUGAUGGAGCAACGCCGCGUGGGUGAAGAAGGUCUUCGGAUCGUAAAACCCGGUUGUUAGAGAAGAAAGUGCGUGAGAGUAACUGUUCACGUUUCGACGGUAUCUAACCAGAAAGCCACGGCUAACUACGUGCCAGCAGCCGCGGUAAUACGUAGGUGGCAAGCGUUAUCCGGAUUUAUUGGGCGUAAAGGGAACGCAGGCGGUUUUUUAAGUCUGAUGUGAAAGCCUUCGGCUUAACCGGAGUAGGUGAUUGGUAACU
Molecule: ribosomal RNA, 305 nt
Filed under: uncultured bacterium
Lineage: Bacteria
Description: bacterial SSU rRNA
Rfam family: Bacterial small subunit ribosomal RNA
Source: RNAcentral